AGCAGAAGCAGCGACAGUGACAGAGACGUCGACGUCGUCAUGGCUGACUGAUAAAAGUGCAGAUGACAGACAGCAAGAGCAUCGUUAUCGUUAUCAGCAGCAGCAACUGCAGAGCAACAGCGGGAGUUUGUUUACCCCGCCGCGACGUGUAUCCAUCAAGAGUCAUAAGCAUAGUUAUAUAUCCACACUCCAUAAAGACCUCAUUGCAGUAUUUUAUACAAAUAGACGACGGCGACAACGAAAUACGUGAAUCGUUCACGUAUCGGCGGCCAAUGGGCAACGUUGCGGUGGGAAUGGCAGGCGGGUUUGGAAGGCGGCUGCGGGUGCGGGUUGCGGUACUGACGAGCUGCCCAAAAGCGGUUUCAACAUGAUUUUUGUUGGGUAGCUGCUAAGCUAAUUUCAAAACAAAAGGCGCGCACUCAUCGCGACGCAUCAUGUAAUCUAAUUUUUACUUAUGUAUGUAUGUAUUUCUUAAUUGUUGGCAGCAUUUUCAGCUGAAAGAAAAAUAUACAAAACAGCUGAGCGCGA
This is a long non-coding RNA of Drosophila innubila, 528 nucleotides long. RefSeq lists it as uncharacterized. The record is from RefSeq and is a predicted model, not a curated record. Lineage: Eukaryota; Metazoa; Arthropoda; Insecta; Diptera; Drosophilidae. The transcript is spliced from 3 exons.